UUCUUCUGUUUUACUAUGACUCGGAGAAUGAGGCAGAAAGAGGGAACAAGGGUUUCUGAGGGGGUGGUUGCCGCCUCUCUCUGCCUGUGAUUUCAAUCAUCUUCAACAACUCUCCGUUAUGUAUGUAUAUGUAUACAUAUGUAUGUAUGAGUGUGUUCUUUUUUUUCUAGAUUUUCUAUGAAAAUGUGUGUGUAUUUAGAGAGAGAAAGUUCACGUGAUCCGAGUCAUAUAUAUGGAAACACACUUGUUCCUGGAUCCAUUGCUGCUUAUAAUACUACUCAUCCUUGAAACCAAAACCCUACUUACGAGGCUAUGAUGAUUUCACGUGAUCCGAGUCAAAAUCGGGUCAAGAUUCGAGACUUUCCGCAGCUUGGCGGGGCAGAAUUGGAGGAGGGCAAGUGCGCUUGCAACCUCUGUUGCAGCCAUGGCGGUUUGGUACUCUUGUUCCGAUCGUAAAACAGAUCUGAGCCUUAUUUUCUUAGAAUCAGAUUUCUAAUUUGAUUUGUUGUGUGUAUUUUGAUUUUUGUUUGAUAUCGAGCAUCCGAUUUGGUACCAUUGCGGUGACAUGUUUUCUGUUUUUUUAUAGUCUGAAUCUUUAGUCUGAGGGUAUUUUGGGGUUUGAAUAUUGUUCUUAAUAUACUUUGUAAUUGAGUUAACUGUCAUUUUCGUCCAUGUGGUUUGUUUAGUUUUGCCAUUUCAGGUCAAUUUUCAAAAAUGCACCAGUUUUCUCCUCGACAUACUAGAAACGUGCCACUCCAGUCUAAAAAUUAAAACUCUGUUAAUUCAGUCAGGUUAAAUGAAAGAUAUUAUUGCCAGUUCAUAUAUCUUUUAUUUUCACCUUAUUUUAUGAAUUAACAAUAAUAUUCUUCAUUUAACCUGUCUGACGUAAUUGGGUUUUAAUUUUUUGACUGAAGUGGUAUGUUUCCAGUAUGUCAGGAAGGAAAUUGGUGCAUUUUUUUAAAUUUUCCUGAAAUAGCAAAAGUGAACAAACCAACAUACACGAAAAUGGCAAUUAACUUUUUGUAAUUUAAUAUUAUGUAACUCAAGUCUGGUAAGUCACAUUUUACAUUGAUUAAAGUUCUGUGU
Molecule: long non-coding RNA, 1086 nt
Filed under: Helianthus annuus (common sunflower)
Lineage: Eukaryota; Viridiplantae; Streptophyta; Magnoliopsida; Asterales; Asteraceae
Description: hypothetical non coding rna
Source: RNAcentral